Desmophyllum pertusum is the source of this 72-nucleotide non-coding RNA. Lineage: Eukaryota; Metazoa; Cnidaria; Anthozoa; Scleractinia; Caryophylliidae. The record is from the annotation of a GenBank genome assembly.
UCUCCUGUAGCUCAGUGGUAAAGCAUCCGACCGGUGUGCGGAAAGUCAUAGGUUUGACCCCUGUUAAAAGAA